This 72-nucleotide transfer RNA is filed under the name Ovis aries (sheep). It matches the Rfam family "tRNA". From Rfam's summary of the family: Transfer RNA (tRNA) molecules are approximately 80 nucleotides in length. Their secondary structure includes four short double-helical elements and three loops (D, anti-codon, and T loops). The record is from Rfam by way of RNAcentral. Lineage: Eukaryota; Metazoa; Chordata; Mammalia; Artiodactyla; Bovidae.
UCCCUGGUGGCUCAGAUGGUAAAGAAUCUGCCUGCAAUGCAGAAGACCUGGGUUUUAUCCCUAACUUGGGAA